This is a small nuclear RNA of Leptidea sinapis, 166 nucleotides long. RefSeq annotates it as U1 spliceosomal RNA. The transcript has a single exon. NCBI's taxonomy places the organism in Eukaryota, Metazoa, Arthropoda, Insecta, Lepidoptera, Pieridae. The record is from RefSeq and is a predicted model, not a curated record.
AUACUAACCUUGCGUAGGGUGUACCGUGAUCACGAAGGCGGUUGCCCCGGAGUGGCGCCCACCAUUGCACUGCGGUGGGAAUAAGCUACUUUGUGACCUAUUCCAAGUGGAAUUCGUCGUACGCACAAUUUUUGAUAGUUGGGACUUGCGUUCUGCGCAGUCCCCC